This is an RNA transcript of Glycine soja, 2271 nucleotides long. It is a transcript of the gene named octanoyltransferase LIP2p, chloroplastic-like, with no coding region annotated. The record is from RefSeq and is a predicted model, not a curated record. Lineage: Eukaryota; Viridiplantae; Streptophyta; Magnoliopsida; Fabales; Fabaceae. The transcript is spliced from 5 exons.
GGAGGUUACCCUGUGUUUUGGUGCAUUGAGAAUUUUCUAUUGAUGUUUGUUUAUUUUUACUGUUUGUGUUACAAAUCUCGUUUAGUUUGAUAACACUUUUGUUAUUGUCAAUGUUGUUAUUGUGUAUUGCAUGCUAUAAGGUUCAUUUAUUGUUUCAAAAGUUAGAUUUUUUAUUGAUGUUUCAGAAGAGUGGAAAAUGAACGGAUUCAUGGUUGUUGUAUUAAUGUGGGAAAUAUUAAGGGAUAAACCGGUAUAGACACUCACAAUCAUGCUCAAUAUCACUUUUACCAGAUUUGAAUUCCUGAGUGUUUCUCUUUGUUUUCUUUGGGAGUAUUACGUGUAUUGUUGUGACUGGUUAAUUUUAAUUUAAACUGGAUGAAGUUCUUCUCUUUUUUCUACCCUCUUUUGAUGGGGAAAAGUUUGUAUAUUUCAAUUUGAUUGAUUGCAAUAUGGUUAAUUUUAUAUUUCACGGUAAGUUGUAUAGUAUUUUUCGAAGGGUAAAGAUGAUUUUUUGUGGGUUUGUUUGAUACUUUUGAGGACUGAAUUCCCUUGAGGAGAAAUAAAAUCAGAGGGAUGUACAUAUCUGUUACCUAUUAUUGUUGUUUUUCUGCACUUUGUGUAAGCAUUGUGCCAUGUAGCAUCCAUUCUGAGUCUUAAUGUAAAGCCCAAGGUUUUAAAUAUUGGUUGCGCUGCAGUUUUGUUGCACAUUUUUCUACUGCUUCGAUUGUCAAUUUGUGUGAAAUAUUGUGUCAUGCACUGUUAUAGGCAGUUUAAAUACUACUUGUGUAAGCACGGUCCUUAAGAUCGCCUUCCUUAAUUCUUAUCAUGGAAGCGUUUUGAGUCAUAGCUGUGCAAAAGCAAUUUAAUUAUGGAGGUUUCCCAUUAGGGUUUUCCUUCUGGGUCCUCCUUUCCCCCACUUGAUUCGUAUAGUAAUGAGGCAUAGACCCUUUUUACCAUUGGAGCUGUUACUUUUAUCCUAUUAUUGUUGAUCUUAUGUAAAUGACUACGUGUCACCAUAAGAUUCAACUAAUAGGAGUUUGGCUCCUUUGGUGCACGACUAAUGUCUCAGCUAGCAAGUGGGAACACUUAGGCAAAUCUUUCUUAAUUUUGUUGGUUUGUACCUUGAUGACUUGUUUGGUGCUUUACUUUGUCUGCUUUAUUAGUUCUGUUUUAGUUAAGAAUACAAAAGACAAGGCAGAUGAAUCAAGUAGAUGUGUGGAAGGAGAAGUCCUUUCUGAUCUUAAAUUUUGAGGCAUAUUUAAUAUCUUAUAUGUUAAACUUUGUCUUGUACAUUUUUGGCACACUCCCAUCAACAGCAUCAUCAUACCCUACUCUACCCCUGGGGCCAUACUUUAAGCAGCACAAGCCACUCCUAUAUUCCAAACCAUCCAAAUUCAACUCUCUUUCAAUAAAUGGCCACAGAAGGAUCUGUGAUCUCUUUGAUUUGCAUCAGGAGCAAGUACCUUAUGAAGUGGCCUGGUCUUUGGCAAAAGGAGAUUGUCAGGGAAAAGAAGGCACAAAUUGAAAAGGAAGGAGAUUGCACUGACACCCUUAUUAUUCUACAACACUCUUCUGUUUAUACAUUAGCUAGUUAUGUACCCCAUUAUCAACCUUUGAAGACACAAGAUGGAUCUUCAUUGGUACCUUAGAACUCUUGAAGAGGUUGUUAUUCGUGUUCUUUCUUCAUCAUGUUCAAUUCAGGCUUCUAGGCUGGAAGGUUUAACUGGAGUUUGGGUUGGAAAUGAGAAACUGGCUGCUGUUGGUAUCAGAGUGUCUCACUGGAUAACCUAUCAUGGCUUAGCACUUAAUGUCACAACAAAUUUGUGUCUAUUUAAAUGGAUGGUCCCAUGUGGAAUACAUGGUCACGGUCAUCAAGUAAGCAUUAAGGGGUUGGUGAGAGAAGGCAAGCUAUGUAUUGAUCAUGGAACAGAUUUGCAUCAUCUGGAUGAUGCUAGUUUUAUUCAUAUUACACAUAAGUCCUUGAUUGAAGAGUUCUCACAAGCAUUUCAGCUUGAGUACUGUUACAAAAAUAUUUCUGCCGCCAUGUUGUAUGAAAGGAAACAUAGCUCUCUCACCAAAUAGACACAUCAAAGUUGUCUUUGUUUGAUAUAUAUAGCAAUUGUCUAUUCACUUUUUCCAGAUAAAGGGCAGAGAAAAUAUCAUCACUCUUGCAAUAGAAACACACUUUUGUACUUAUGUUCCAGAUUACCGAAUUAUGGUUCUUGUAUCUUGAUAAUGAUGAUUAGUUUUAUCUACGUUUAUUCUAAGCAA